Non-coding RNA from Cordylochernes scorpioides, 76 nucleotides. The record is from the annotation of a GenBank genome assembly. NCBI's taxonomy places the organism in Eukaryota, Metazoa, Arthropoda, Arachnida, Pseudoscorpiones, Chernetidae.
UGUCCAGAGAUGGGAAUCGAACCCACAGUGUUCUGCUUACCGGGCAAAUGCCAUGUCCACCAAGCAAUGAUAAAAC